UACGGGGGGUGCAAGCGUUGUUCGGAAUUAUUGGGCGUAAAGAGCGUGUAGGCGGUUUGGUAAGUCAGAUGUGAAAGCCCCGGGCUUAACUCGGGAAGUGCAUUUGAAACUGCCUUACUAGAGUAGGGAAGAGGAAAGCGGAAUUCCUGGUGUAGAGGUGGAAUUCGUAGAUAUCAGGAGGAACACCAGCGGCGAAGGCGGCUUUCUGGUCCUUUACUGACGCUGAGACGCGAAAGCGUGGGUAG
Molecule: ribosomal RNA, 245 nt
Filed under: uncultured bacterium
Lineage: Bacteria
Description: partial 16S ribosomal RNA
Rfam family: Bacterial small subunit ribosomal RNA
Source: RNAcentral